This 833-nucleotide long non-coding RNA is filed under the name Homo sapiens (human). RNAcentral describes it as "HSALNT0203522". Lineage: Eukaryota; Metazoa; Chordata; Mammalia; Primates; Hominidae. The record is from RNAcentral.
AAAGAAACUGUGGGAGGGACGGAGAGGAAAAGCCGGGGACACAGAAGUGGCGAUCGGAAAAGGAGAGGGAGAUCAUCUACUUCUCUUCUACUACUACCGUUAGAUUGCAUGUCUCACAUUCCAUUUCGUCCGCGGGGACUGGUAAUUUUUUCCAAAGCUUCUAAACAAUCGCCCGCCAACUUAAAGAGGAGCCUGAGCGCGCCGAGCUCUCUCCUUCCAGGAUUUAGGAUCCAUCUCCACGCGUUUUGGCAAUGAGCUAGAAACGAAAACACAGCCCCCACUUCACGAUUAUUCAGAAAUUAUUUUGAGGAAAAUUCACAUGACGUGAUAACGAGUCAUACUGCGGUGGAUCGGCAUGCACCCUGUCCCCCUUCUUACCUCCCAGAAUUACCUCAGUAUCAUAGCGUAGGUGCUUUGGAGAAAACUGACUCCUCCUAGCAAUAAGUCUUCAGUUGCUUUAAGCUUUAAGCACAUUCUUUCAGUCCUCUGAUCAUUGUCAUUUGUCCAGGGGUGGGCAUGGACUUUAGUGGUACCAAAAAAAAUCUCGCAUUCCUAUUUGAAAUGCUGAGACAGAAGUACAGGCUCUCACUUUCUCUGCAGUUGGCAGAGAGGGAAUGUGGUCUCGAUUGCUUCUGGCAAACAUUGUGCAGUCAUGUUGGAAAGGGGACUUGAAAUGAAGCGAAGAUUCCAGAAAACAGAACAAACCAAAAGAAAUGGUGACCACUAUAACUGGCAACUGUGGAGCCUGCCCUAUCUCUGGACAUUCAGUUACUGGGGCUAAUAAAGCCUGGUUUACUUUGUUGUCUGUGCCAUUUGACUUUGCUUUCUUGAUG